This is a long non-coding RNA of Prinia subflava (tawny-flanked prinia), 3935 nucleotides long. RefSeq lists it as uncharacterized. The transcript is spliced from 3 exons. The record is from RefSeq and is a predicted model, not a curated record. Lineage: Eukaryota; Metazoa; Chordata; Aves; Passeriformes; Cisticolidae.
AUCACCUGUGUGGGCCAAGCUAAAUGUUUGUCAGGGUUAUAGCCAAACCUGAACUUUGUCAUCCAAGGAUAAAUAGUUGUGCUUUUCUACCCUGGAAAGUGGACUGCAAAGCAAAGGAAAGGGCCAAACUAGCAUGGAGUUCUCAGUACUCUAUGUCCAUGCUUUUAACAUGAACACUGGCAUGGAUUGAAGGUAUGUUUGCUGUGAGAGUUCAAAUCUGAGCUCUGAGCCAUAAUUCUUCUCUAGGCAGCAGCAGCAGUACCAGGACUCCCUUUCAAAGACCAGUUCCCCCCCACCCCAUUACCAUGCUCUAACCAGCUGCCUAAAAUUUGCUUUAUAGUCAUCUCCUGGUAGAACCAACACACCCAAGGUGUUGAAUACCUGUGAAGAUUUAGGUUAAAGGGUUAUAAAAUUGGAUAUCAAGUGAAAGUUGAAGAUGUGAACAGGGUGUUACUGUCUGCAGAAAGCAGCAUGAAACCAGGGGAAUUGCAUAGGACUUUCUCUUCAAUUUUUUCUUAUUCCUGUGUUGUUCCCAGGGCAAGAUGUGGCCUGUUGUCACAGCUUUAGCUGUCAUGAUGAAUGCCUGCUUGCUGCACCUGGAGUGGAGUUAGUGAGGGAGCUAAUACAGCUUUGCUACUUCCAUACACAUAAAUAACUGAGAUGGGGUUCUGCAUCUGCUUGUCUAUCAGAAACACUCAAACUCCCCCCAACAAAUGUCCACCCCUUUCUCUCCCUGAAGCAAGACCUGCGACAAGCACCAGGAAACGAUCCUUGCAUUAAACACUUCAUCCUCAUUUAAAAUAAGUACAUCCAGAGCAAUCCUCUCUUUUCCACAAAAAUGACAUGGCCUGCCAGCAGGAAGAAAUGUCAGUGCUGGAAUGCAUACAACCAUGCUUUUCCUGGAACACUGCUUGUUCUCCUGGACCACUGAACUCUGGGUUAGCAGCUGUGGCAGUGCGGAUGAACCAGCUCCACAAGGAUAAGUGACAACCAAGGGACAACCCAGAGCUUGGCUUGCCAUGCAGGGUGGAUGGUGGACACAUUAAGGUGUUUGAGAAAGAGCCCCACCAGUAGAAGGACACUACAGCAGAAUAAGGAGCAUCUGCUGGAAAUGUAGAAGGAGAAAACCUAGAUAUAUCAGUGAAUUCCAGGAUGACUGCAUUACCAGUCAUGAGCACCAGGGAAGGAAGAUAUUUUACAAUGCAGCAAAGUCAUCCCAGAGAAGGGAAGGAAGCAUUAACGCUAUUUGCACAAAAGGUUUGAAUCCUGUGAGCAUUGGCUGCCCCAGAAAAAUGAAUUCAAAGUGAAAUAGAUCCAAGGAAGGCUCAUCGUUGCAGCCAGAAGUAUAAAAUCCUUACAUUACUGCAAAUGAAGUGAUGUUAACGUAGUUAGCCUAAAAAUGAAAACACAGGUAAAAUUUUUGUCUAUAAAUUAAUGUGGAACGCUGAGAAAGGACAACAGUUACUGAAUGUAAGAAGAAUGUUUGAACAAGAACAGAUGGAGGCAAAAUGAAUAGGAGCACCUUUAGGUUGGAAAUUAAAAACUUAGUGCUAAGCCUCAGAGCAAAGGUGUUUUGAAACAAACCUCCUGAUAGGAUUAUCAAGAGGCAUAAAAUCAAACUAUUUAAUCAGGUUUUGCAUGGGAUUAUGUAGCGUGCCACUGAGAUUAGCUCAGUUGGUUAGAGCAUGGUGUUAAUAAUGCCAAGGUUGUGGUUUCCACCCCUGUAUGGGCCAUUCACUGAAGAGCUGGACUUGAUGAUCCUUGUGGGUCUCUUCCCCAAUUCUGUAUGGUUCCUGGAUACAGGAAUUUUGAAUCUUAUAAACUGGUCACUAAGUCCUUAGAGUACAUUAUUAUAAUUUUUUACACAAGUCCUGCACUAGAAAAAUCAUGAUGCAAUCAUAAGUAAUACAUAGAUUAGCUAGUUUCCCCUGCUUAUGUAAAUUGGUCCUUGAAUACAGUUGGUGUAACAUAACAGUAAUUUAUGGAAGUGCUUUUGUUCUAAGUCUUAAGAAGGUGCCAGAGUCUCCUUCAUCAGCUUAUUGCUGCAGGCAUGAUUCUCUUCUAAUUCUUGCUGUUUCACACCUAUGCAAUUCAAUUUUCUUAAGUGAAGUUAACUCUUGAUUUAUACUGGUAAAAAUCAGAUCCAAUUUUUUUUCCUUUCAUAGCUGGGGCAGGUUUAUUUUAAUAAUUAACAUGAAAAUCCUAAUAGUAUCACUGUGAGGAUGUGUUUAGAGGCAUCAGUCAAGACAGGAUCUUGUUCCACCAGACUUUUCACAAACUUCUACCAAAAACUAUUUAGCAGUAUGACAAUUUUAUAAUCUGAAUAGAUUGGUAUUUUAAAAAAGAAAAACUGGAAACUAAGCCUGAGAGAAAGAUGUUUUCUCCAAGGUCAAAAAGCUGAUCAGUGGCAGAUGAAAAAGUAUCUGUCACCAAGUGCUCUAAGUGUACACGUAUUCUUUGCAGCCAGUGUGAGAAAAGGCAGGCUCAGGUCAAAAAGGAGCUGCAGCAAAGAUAAAUAUAGCUAUAGAAUACAUUUGUAACUGAACAAGUAUGCAUGAUUUCCAUUUGGAAUUUUCUUUCAAAACCAGCUGAAGCCUCUGGGACAAAACCCCGAAUGAAUACCGUAUUUUUUAAAAUAGUAAAUUAAUUAACCUUGAUUCAUACACGAUUUUCUUCCUACUGAAUUGUUUAUAAAAGGACAUCUUGUCAAUAGUGUAAAACUUGGCUUGAUACUUCAUGAAAAAGAAUUCACCUUUACAGCUUUGACAGGUUGUACCACUCUUUUUAAAUCCUACUUUGGAGUUAUCACAGUUACGGUGGGGUCCUGGCAUUACUGUAGUUGUAAAUCACAGGCUUUCCUCAAGAAUCCUCUUCUGGGCUUGCAGAACCCCAGAAUCUCUUUCCUUCUCCAAAGCUGCCCAAUGCUUCCUCUGUAAAUGGAAAUUCUGAUUUCCUGCAGGGUAGGGCAUGGAGUGUGGGAGGCAGAGAGGGGAUCCAGGUCCCCUUCUGCUGGUGAAGUGUCCUCUGGUAACAUCUUGUAUUAACUGCGCCAUGGAAAUGAGAACCAAAUCUCCAGCAUGGGAAAGGCACCCAGAGCUCAUUCCCAGCCUUGUCACCAGCUAGUGUGAAACCUCUGUGCUCUCAGACCACAGAGCACAUUCAAAGCUCUCUGCUGUCUGUGGCAGAUGAAAAUUGUUGCCUUUCCCUUCCACCAUCCCAGAGCUCGCAUGUUUGGCAAUCCCACCACACGACCACCUCUGUCACAAGCAGGCUUGGGUUCUGUUCACAACCCCCACAUCCUCUGUAAGCUGGCAGAACACUGUCUGCGGAGGGUGCGUAACAUCAGCAUCAACUGCGAGACAGCAGACAAUGCCAGGCACAAAAUAAGGGAAAGGCUCAUGACAGAGGGUAAAUUUGAAAGGACUGUAACACACAUGUCACAUGCCUCAGCCUGUUCACAGCACACAUAUGUAUGCACAACCAGAAUGCAUCACAUGGGGCAAAACACCUGAUGGCCUGCUAAAUUCAGCACUCUGCUGAGCCUGUUACUUUCUGCAAACUGAUUAAUCUAAUUCUUGGCCUACCAUUAAUAGCAUUUGUUUACACAGUCCACCACUCUCCCUGAUCCUAUCACAAUCUGCCUAUUUACUAACCUACCUGGUAAGUAACUAACUUGACCAGUGCCCACCAAAUGAGGAACUUUUGCUUAAAAUGGCAAACAAAACAUAUGAAUCUUGCAGAUUUAUGUUCAGGAUUUUGACUGUGUAAAUCUAAAACUUGAUGAAGAUGCAAACCUCCAUGAAAACAGAGAUGUUACAUAUAUUAAUAUUAUAUAAAUUAAGUAUUGCCGAUAUUCUUAGGUGAUGUACAUGGAGUGGGAAAAGUGAAAGCAGAAUGCAGGCUUUGUGCAAAAUUAGACAUUGAUUUUUUUUAAA